CUUCUGGAAUCAGGGGCUUCAGGGAACUUCUAUCGUCCAGGACCCUGUCGGGGAGAGGAAACUCGAAGACGCGGACGGGAACUUAAAAUCCUCCAGCCGAGAGCAGAUCGAGCUCAUCUGCUAAAGCUUCACGCUCGAGAGUUUCUGGGCAGGGGGCCCCAACGAGGAACUCGUUUCGUCACGCCGUUAGUUUCUCCCUCCGUGCCCCCCUCCCCGGCUCGGAGGAGAUGGUAGAACCCACUUCCGGAUUUCCAUCCUCCCAGCCCCGCCUCCGGCCGCAGGAAAUCUCGCGAUGGAGGGAGGAGGCGGUACACCCCGAGAAAUACUUGAAGAAAGUCAGUCAGGAUGUAGUCUACCUACAGGUCUUGGAGCCAACGGUUUGAAGAAAAGCAGUUGGGGGUUCUUCCUUACUGGGAUCGUUGGUGGGACCCUGGUGGCCGUGUAUGCCGUGGCCACCCCGUUUCUAACACCGGCCCUCCGAAAAAUUUGUUUGCCAUUCGUUCCCGCAACUACAAAGCAGAUUGCCAACGUUGUGAAAAUGUUGCAUUGCAGAAGAGGAUCCCUGGUCGACAUUGGCAGUGGCGACGGACGUGUUGUGAUAGCAGCUGCAAAGGAGGGAUUCACCGCUGUCGGUUAUGAAUUAAACCCAUGGCUCGUUUGGUACUCCAGAUACCGUGCUUGGCAAGAAGGGGUGCAGGACUCUGCCAAAUUUUAUAUUUCAGAUUUGUGGAAGGUUACUUUUUCGCAGUACACAAACGUGGUUGUUUUUGGUGUGCCUCAGAUGAUCCUCUGCUUGAAUUCCAUGAAAGCGGCAAAUGAAGCUUACUUACUUCAAGGGAGAAGAAUGGAUCUCAAACAUGUGACCUGAAGCCACCCAGAAGAAGAGCUCUUGCUGACUUGAAAAGGGACAAAAUAUGGAGUGCCUAGGUCCAAGGAACACGUGCAGUGACGUCAGGAUUCUGCCUCUCUACCUUCUGAAUCUGCUUCUUCGAAUUCUCCCCUUCUCAGCCAGCACUUAGCAACUUUCACUUGCUGGCAUCGUCUCUUGCCAAGAACAGUGAGGAUGCUCCGAGAGACCCAGUGGCUACUUUCUUCUGGUGUCAGAUGAGAGGGGAAGGGGUGACUCUUGCCCAUCUUGCUGGAAGGCUCAAUGACACGUGUGUGAAAGUUCUCCUGCGACAGAGCACUGCCGUCCUACCAGGCUUCCGGCACCCAGAGCCCUCUGACUCGGCUGCUCCAAGAGGCUACACCCUCAGAGUAAGGCUGAAUUGGAAACAUUGCAGAAGUUACAAAGGCUAAAAACCAACUCCCAGCCAGCUUAAUCCCAGACAAGGAUAAAAUGAUCUGCGAGGGGAAAAAUUAAAUCCACUCUGGAUGAUGAUAAUCUUAUCCAAAGCCUUGAAUGCCUAUAUAAUUUUAUGAAAAAUUGUGUAUGAACACAACAUUGGCACUCAAUUAAAAAAAACUCUCCAGGUAUACAAAAGGGUAAGACUUGACCAAAACCAAGAGAAAAACAUAAUUAAACAAUAAAAAAUAGAGUUCUUAUACAGGAACGCCAAAUACAUAUACUUAAUGUGUUCAAGACAUAAAAUUGCAAGAUGAAGAAUUUCAGCAGGGAACUAGAAACCACAGAAAGGAAACAUUGGAAUUCUAUAAUAGAAAAAUAAAAAUAAAUUAAAUUCAGAUCUCAGUGAAUGGGCAUAACAUUAUAUUGAGGUACUGUAGAGAGAAUUGGUGAGCCAGAAACAAGUCUGUGAAAGACUAGCACAAAAAGUCAAAAGAUUAGAUGGGAAGAAGAGAAAGUAAGAGCCACAUGGAACACAACGAAAGGGUGUAAUUGUAGUUCCACAAAGAUAGGAGAAAGACGCAAUGGGCAGAAGCAAUACUUGAAGGAAUCAUGGCCAAGAAUUUCACAAAACUUCCAAAAAAUGUUCAAAGACAUCCAUCCUCAAAAUCAAGCUGGUGAGCCCCAAGAGGAUAAAUACAAAGGAAACUGCCUUGGACACGUCACUGUAAUUUCUGAAGACCAAAGAUAAAAGGAAAUCUUAAAAACAGUCAGAGGUGUUGAAAAGACAGAUCUUUGAAAUAGCAAGAUCAACAGCUGACUUCUGAUGGGAAAUCAUGGGAGUCUCAACGCAAUUGAAUAAUUUCCUCAAAGCAGUGAAAGAAGCCUAGAAUCCUUUCACUCGUGGCGAUAUUCUUCAAAAAUGAAGAUGGAAUAAAAACACUUUCAGAGAAGCAAAAAUUAGGAUUACUUGCCAGGAGCACAUCUUCACUGAAGGACCCAACGGAGGGAGUUUUUCAGUCAGGAGGAAAGUGAUCCCAGAUGGAGACAUGAACUGCUAAAAGGGAGACCAACAGAAACAGAAAUGUGUACCGGCAAAAAUCAACAAGAAUAAUAUAUCGAGAUGUUUAAUAUGCGUGUUGACUACAGACAUGAGGAGAACAGCAUGAACUUUGGGAGUCAGACCCAAUGAAGUACAUGAAAAGCUACCAUUGUUGGCCAGUGCUGCUGUCAGGACUCCCUGUCUCCACCUAUAAAGCUUACUCCUGAGACAUCAUCAACCAGAAACCACCAAGAUUCUGCUGCCUUCCUUCCUGCCAAGUUAUUGCCUGGAUUUGUAUUUCUGUGUAAAUAUAAGUUGACAGUGGCAGAGAGUGUAAUGUUGGCGGUAAGUAAAGCAACAUCUCCCAGUGCAUCCAGCGUGGGCAGUUGGUCUGUUUCUCAGUCUAAGAUCUUAGUGCUUUGAGUUUUUGUGCUUUGUGCAUGUUUGAGAGAGAAGGUGGAAGAGGCUAGACACUGAAACUGAACAUUUCAAACUGAAAAUGAUUAUGUAAUCUUGGUAACCAACCUCUGCAAUGAUUGUAUAUUACUUUAUUAAGUUGAUGUACCAUAGUUGACUUAACAACUUUCCUAUUGUCGAUCAUUUAAUGUGUUUCCAAAUACUUGCUAUUACGAUUGACCUUGAACGACACAGGUUUGAACUGAAGGGGUUCACUUAUACAUUGUUGUUGUUGUUGUAAAUAAGUACGGUACAGUAUUUUAAAUGUAUUUUCUCUGAUUUUGUUUCCUUUUAUUGUUCGAGGGCAAACUGUAUUAUCAAUAAUUCUACAACAAACAUCUUUGUGCGUAAAACUUUUUCUAGGCUGUAAGCACAGGUUCUACAUAUGGCAGCAAUGUCUUGUCCAACAGUUUCUGGUUCUCCUUUUUCCAUAGAAAUUUAGAUCCCAUGUCUGUCUUGAAUAGAGAUGGUAUCUACCAAUCUUGCGUUCUAGUGACUUCGUUUCCAAGUGAUUAAGUUCUGGCCAAUGGAAUGUGAGUGGAAGGGUAGUGCGCAAACUCAAUGAAGUUUCUGUAAAGGGAGGGGUUAUCUGCUUUUUCUCUUCCGUUCCUCCAGUUUCUGUCUGGGAUGUGAUGGUUGGAGCUUGAAUUCUGCCUUACACCAUGAGGUUUAGUAAUGGCAAAGUGGUGAGGUGCAACAAGCGGGGUCCCUCUGGUUCCAUCGCGCUCACUUGUAUGACAGUGCUGGGCUGCUUACAUGAGAACAAACAACUUUCUAUCUCGUGUAAGUAUUCUGGUUUGGGGGUUUUGCAGCUGUAUGCAAUCCUGUAGUACACUUGGGCUAACACGAAUGUCCUAGAUUUUAACAACAAUCAGUAAGUGGCAAAAGACUGAAAGGAGAGAUCCUGGAAGGCAAGGUAGGAACGCACCCAAUAUACACUUGCCCACUUCAGAGUUUUCCUUUCUGUGAUUGGCCAGGCUCAUGGGAUCUGGUUAGAUGCACCUUAGACCAACAUGCUAUAUCCAUCCAUGUCUACUGCUGCCUCCCUUGAAGCCAGAUGGAGCAGAUAUGGUUAUCCCCGUUUCUUCCUUAAUAAAACCAAACUUUCCCAGACAAACUGGAACACUUGCUAAAAUUAUAGGUUUUCCCACCUAUUAAACCCCUGAACUUACUGAAUCAUAAUGUCUGAGAGUGGAGUCCAAGAAGUAGUAUUUGUCAUAAGUUUACUGAAUGAUUCUUUUAAAAAAAAUUUUUUUUACACUUAUUUAUUUUUGAGAGACAGAGAGAGACAGCGUGAGCAGGGGAGGGGCAGAGAAAGAGGGAGACACAGAAUCAGAAGCACGCUCCAGGCUCCAAGCUGUCAGCAAAGAGCCCGAUGCGGGGCUCGAACCCACGAACCGUGAGAUCAUAACCUGAGGAGAAGUCGGACGCUUAACCGACUGAGCCACCCAGGCGCCCCAAGUUUACUGAACGAUUCUGAUGUGCUGAGAUGUUUGGCAACUUCAAGUCUUCUCUAUUUCGAGAUUAUCAUUUUGUUUUCCCAGUUAGUUGCCCUCGCUCUAUGAAAUUAAGCAACGUAAGAUGGAUCUGAGAAAACAUCUGACCUGACCUGGUGGUCUCAUCUUUGAGGGACAGAGAAUACAAGAACAUAAAUAGCUUUUUGCAUUAAGAGCCAUAAUCCCAGCACUUUCCCUUGACUUGAAUUCACCGAAUGUCUUCAAGUGUCUGUUGACCAUCUCCAGACCUCUCUCAGCGACCUUCAUCUAACAUCCUAAAAGUCCGGUGUCUGUCUGGUGUCAGAAUCAAACUCCCUUCUGUCUACACGAAACAGUGAGGUGCUCUAAAGAGAAGUGGGCCGCACAGUGGUAAGCGAUAUAGAUGCAUUUCUGUUCGUGUGGGGAUGUUUUCUCUAGUGGAAAUGCUUUCUCUUUGAACGAUACAUGACUUGGAAGUCAUUAAAUCAUCAUGGUCCUCGUGUCCCUCUGGGAAGAUUAGCUCCGUGAAUUGAGAGCUCUUGAAUAUUUAUUUCCUUGUGUUCAAAAUUUUGGACUCUCUGUUGCUAGAGCUGUAUAGUGGGUUCUUAAAAAGUGACCGCAAUUAUUCCUCUCCCUAUAUCCCGCAUCUUAGAGUGUGACCCCCACGAUUCUUUCCACGAGAGGUGGAGCCUGUGUCCCCUCCCCUUGGGUCUGGGCUGACCUUGGGAAUCCAUUUGAACAGGAGAGAGUGUGGAUGAAGUGGCCUCGCAUGCUUCCCUUGUUCUCUCAGAAGGCUGCCCUGUGUGAGCAAGUUGGGUUAGCCCACUGGAUGAAGAAGGACGUGUGGCCCACUCACGCUACCAGCCCAGCUCACAGCCAGCUAACCUACCUGACUGGCCACUGAACGUGGAUGCUGAGUGAGCCCAGCUGAGCCUCAGCCCAAAUGGCUGACCUGUGGAAUCACGAACUACAUAAGUAGUUGUUUUCAGUCACUACAUUUGGGGAUGGCUCUUUAUUCCGCAAAAGUCAGCUGAUCCAGGCAUCACCACAACUACAGAUAAUGAUGAAAGGCUGGGGAUGACCAUGCCACAGGGACAGUUUCUCGAAUGUCUCCAACUCUGAGCAGGUGAGGACGUUUCCUGUCCUGGUGAGGUAAAAAUAUAUCUUCCCUGAGAGUCUCCCCUGAGUAUGGCCAGGGCAAUUUGAUUUGAAGAAAGGUCCUACUGUUGGGUAAGAUAGCCUCGAGAGAACAAUGGCCUCUGCUGGUUUGUCUGAAGCAUCCUGUGUCUCUCCUCAUCAUCUACUCUGGGCUGAAGGGAGACACAGUUGUUACAGGAGAAGAGUUCCAGAUAUUUCAGCCCCAAAUCAAUGCUCCCUCCUCAGUGCUUUCUGGCUUUGUUUUCGUUUUGUUUAUUUUUUGACAUACAAUUCACAUAGAAUACAAUUCUUAGUAUAUGCACAAGGUUUGGCAACCAUCACCGCUCUCUAAUUCUGGAACAUUUCCGUCACUCCAGAAAGACACCCCCAUUCGUCACCUCAGUGACUUCCUAAACUUUUUUUCAGUUUGCAGAGUUUUAAAGAUUAAAUUUUUUUUCUGUAUCCGUUCCUCUUGUUCAAUUGUAAAAUGUGUGCGUUUGUGAUCAUGUCGGAUUUUCAUUAAAAAGUCAAACUUUUUCAAGGAAACUAGGAAACUUUUUUUUUUAGUAGAUGAAAUACAGAAAUAAAGCAACACAGAACAAAUAUGUGUAAAAGAGAAAGUAAAAUGCACUCUCACUCCCAUCUCCAUGGAGACCACCACUGUUUUCAGUUUGGGGUGUAUUUUUCCAGAAGAAGAGGAUGUUUUUACAGAUAUUAAAGCUCAUCCACGGCGAGUUUUAAUAAGACAUGUUCCUUUGGCUUGGGACCUGUGAGUUGAAAGUAAUUUUCAUGAUGUUCUGCUUGAUUUUGUGGGCCUCAGAAUUUUACUGAAGAUUUUUAAAAAAUGUUUAUUUUUGGGGGCGCCUGGGUGGCUCAGUCGGUUGGGCGUCCGACUUCGGCUCAGGUCAGGAUCUCGCGGUCCGUGAGUUCGAGCCCCGCGUUGGGCUCUGGGCUGAUGGCUCAGAGCCUGGAGCCUGCUUCCCAUUCUGUGUCUCCCUCUCUCUCUCUGCCCCUCCCCCGUUCAUGCUCUGUCUCUCUCU
This is an RNA transcript of Acinonyx jubatus (cheetah), 6435 nucleotides long. It is a transcript of the gene named ATP synthase c subunit lysine N-methyltransferase, with no coding region annotated. NCBI's taxonomy places the organism in Eukaryota, Metazoa, Chordata, Mammalia, Carnivora, Felidae. The record is from RefSeq and is a predicted model, not a curated record. The transcript has 10 exons.